Molecule: ribosomal RNA, 440 nt
Filed under: uncultured bacterium
Lineage: Bacteria
Description: partial 16S ribosomal RNA
Rfam family: Bacterial small subunit ribosomal RNA
Source: RNAcentral
CCUACGGGUGGCAGCAGUGGGGAAUAUUGCACAAUGGGGGAAACCCUGAUGUAGCGACGCCGCGUGAGUGAAGAAGUAUCUCGGUACGUAAAGCUCUAUCAGCAGGGAAGAAAAUGACAGUACCUGACUAAGAAGCCCCGGCUAACUACGUGCCAGCAGCCGCGGUAAUACGUAGGGGGCAAGCGUUAUCCGGAUUUACUGGGUGUAAAGGGAGCGUAGACGGCAGCACAAGUCUGGAGUGAAAUCCCGGGGCUUAACCCCGGAACUGCUUUGGAAACUGUGCGGCUGGAGUGCAGGAGGGGUAAGCGGAAGUCCUAGUGUAGCGGUGAAAUGCGUAGAUAUUAGGAGGAACACCGGUGGCGAAGGCGGCUUACUGGACUGCAACUGACACUGAGGCUCGAAAGUGUGGGUAUCAAACAGGAGUAGAUACCCCUGUAGUC